CUGAGGCUCGAAAGCAUGGGUAGCAAACAGGAUUAGAUACCCUGGUAGUCCAUGCCGUAAACGAUGAUUACUAGGUGUGGGGGAGCUGACCUCUUCCGUGCCGCAGUUAACACAAUAAGUAAUCCACCUGGGGAGUACGGCCGCAAGGUUGAAACUCAAAGGAAUUGACGGGGGCCCGCACAAGCAGUGGAGUAUGUGGUUCAAUUCGAAGCAACGCGAAGAACCUUACCAGGUCUUGACAUCGAGUGACGAGUCUAGAGAUAGGCUUUUCCUUCGGGACACGAAGACAGGUGGUGCAUGGUUGUCGUCAGCUCGUGUCGUGAGAUGUUGGGUUAAGUCCCGCAACGAGCGCAACCCUUAUCAUUAGUUGCUACGGAAGAGCACUCUAAUGAGACUGCCGUUGACAAAACGGAGGAAGGUGGGGAUGACGUCAAAUCAUCAUGCCCCUUAUGACCUGGGCUACACACGUACUACAAUGGCCGUCAACAGAGGGAAGCAAAGCCGCGAGGCGGAGCAAACCCCUAAAAACGGUCCCAGUUCAGAUUGCAGGCUGCAACUCGCCUGCAUGAAGUUGGAAUUGCUAGUAAUCGCGGAUCAGCAU
RNAcentral lists this ribosomal RNA (601 nucleotides) under uncultured bacterium. RNAcentral's name for it is "bacterial SSU rRNA". It matches the Rfam family "Bacterial small subunit ribosomal RNA", at positions 746 to 1355 of the family's 1533-position model. The record is from RNAcentral.